Molecule: ribosomal RNA, 433 nt
Filed under: uncultured bacterium
Lineage: Bacteria
Description: partial 16S ribosomal RNA
Rfam family: Bacterial small subunit ribosomal RNA
Source: RNAcentral
AACGAACGCUGGCGGCAUGCCUAACACAUGCAAGUCGAACGAACCCUUCGGGGUUAGUGGCGCACGGGUGCGUAACGCGUGGGAAUCUGCCCUUUGCUUCGGAAUAACUCAGGGAAACUUGUGCUAAUACCGGAUGAUGUCUUCGGACCAAAGAUUUAUCGGCAAGGGAUGAGCCCGCGUAGGAUUAGGUAGUUGGUGGGGUAAAGGCCUACCAAGCCGACGAUCCUUAGCUGGUCUGAGAGGAUGAUCAGCCACACUGGGACUGAGACACGGCCCAGACUCCUACGGGAGGCGGCAGUGGGGAAUAUUGGACAAUGGGCGCAAGCCUGAUCCAGCAAUGCCGCGUGAGUGAUGAAGGCCCUCGGGUCGUAAAGCUCUUUUACCAGGGAUGAUAAUGACAGUACCUGGAGAAUAAGCGCCGGCUAACUCCGUG